Molecule: transfer RNA, 67 nt
Filed under: Paraechinus nudiventris (bare-bellied hedgehog)
Lineage: Eukaryota; Metazoa; Chordata; Mammalia; Eulipotyphla; Erinaceidae
Description: tRNA-Glu
Source: RNAcentral
GUUCUUGUAGUUGAAUAACAACAAUGGUUUUUCAUAUCAUGAGUCACGAAUUAUUCGUGCAAGAAUU